Molecule: non-coding RNA, 160 nt
Filed under: Halomonas sp.
Lineage: Bacteria; Pseudomonadati; Pseudomonadota; Gammaproteobacteria; Oceanospirillales; Halomonadaceae
Description: TPP sequence
Rfam family: TPP riboswitch aptamer (THI element)
About the family: Vitamin B(1) in its active form thiamin pyrophosphate (TPP) is an essential coenzyme that is synthesised by coupling of pyrimidine and thiazole moieties in bacteria.
Source: RNAcentral
AACUGCUUGACGGGGUGCCGGUGAAUCCGGCUGAGAUGGCGCAGGGCGUAUCUACGUGAUACUGCCAAAGCGCUGGUCCCGCUGAACCUGAUCCGGCUAAUGAGCUGCUCAUAUAAAGAGCAGCACGGGUACCGGCGUAGGGAUCAAGCGAUGGCCAUGG